CUUCUUUCUCUUGACCUGUUUGUGCGUUGCAGACAGAAAUGCCUUGUUCUUUACUACCUCAUUUCUGAUGUAUAGGUAUGGCAUUCAUAACCUGGGAACUUCCAGUGCGAUUUCCCUGCUGUGCAUAUUCUCUUCAGAUGACGUUUGAGCCUAGGUUUUCGCACCAGCAAAAUGGGGAUAAUUGUGUUGCUUUGAUGUACUGAUAAAAGUGCUUUGUGAGAGCUAAAUAUUUCUUUGUGGAACAUGCCAUAGCAUGUUUAGAAGCUCUGUAUAGCAAGGGCUAGGAGGAAGAGACGUGGGUCUGAUGAAAAACAGUGAGGACAAACAGAGAAGGAGGCCUAUGGAUAUUCCCUUGCUGUUCUUUGUCUCCUAUACCAGCUCUGCAAGAGGAUGAGGGUUUUUCCUUUUCCUUUGCUCAAUGAAAAGAUGACAAGAGAGCAUAUAUCUAGGGACACCUGCUGAGAGAAUAAAAUACAGUAAACAUGAGUGUGCUACGGUGAUAGUUUUGCUUGUACAAUGGUGUCCUGGGUUUUGAUCCGGACUUAUAAAAAGUUUAAACAUAAGCCAUAAAUUAAACCAAAAUCAAAUGCUUUUGUUAUUCAACCUCAGGGUUUGGGUUGGUUUUUUUUUCGUUGUUAUUAUUGGUCUUUGGGGUUUUUUUAAGCUGGGAAAAAUUGGAUGUUGUUAAGAGGAUGAUGAAAAAAAAGAAAUAGAAGUAUUUCUGAACAAGGUCUUCUAAGGUGUCCCCUGGGACUGUGAUUUUAAACUGGUUGUGCAUUAAUUGCAGCUUCUCUGUGUGUUUGUUAGGCCAUUGCCAUGCUGCGGUAAGGUCUCGACGCUUUUAUCUAGCCCUCCCCUAUUCUCUGUUUGUUCUUCAGCAAGGAUGAGAGGAACCCUUACAGUAUGCAAAUAUCGAAUGCUUUCUAUGCUUCUUUCUUUAGAGGCAUAAAAGGAUUUGUUUUAAAAGGCAUGUUGAAUAUAUGGCAAUAAAGACUUAAAUCUUCAGAAGCGGGCAAGCUACACUCCCUCCGCACUUCACAAAUGAAGCCUGGCUUCUGCAAAGAAAGAGUUUGUUAGGAGAAGCACAGAAAGCGGGAUUUCCAUAAUGAUUUGCAAGAAAGAAUUUUGGAACACAUGGCACUGUCUUUCCUUCAGAACUGCAAGUCCCUGGAGACCAAAUUCUUUACUACUUAAUCACUGUGGUAAUUAGAGAUGAUGUUGGCAAGUGUUCACUGAACGUUGUGUCAUUUUUACAUCUUAAAACAUUUUGGCGUUACUUUCCAUUCCCUUUAUUCGGUGUGUUCUGGUCCGUCCCCUGGAUGAUUAGACACAUCUGACCUUUUCUUUGGGACCAGGUCAGUUUUGCAAUUAAGAGCUGUGUUGGUCUGUACUGAUAAAACCAGGGACUAAAUUGUUCUAUUUACGGUUUAAUUUGCCACCAAGCAUUUUUUAUAAUGACUUGUACACAAGCGACAUGAUGGGAAACAAAUCUCUGAGUGAAACAGGGGAUUCCAGCCACAAAAAAUGGCCUCCAAAUACGGAAAACUGCAGUACCAAAGUAUGAAUAAACAUCAGCUGGGAUGAAGCAGAGCUCUGUAGAUGGAGAAUAAUAUUGAAGCAUCAAAAAUGUGUGAGAGAUGGCCCUGGUAAUGAGGAGUGCCCUGGGGAGUGCAGGAAGAGAGUGGGUGCUCAGCCCUCCUGUGCCCCAGAACCCACUAAGCAGCAUCCUCAUAACGCUGCACUUUUCCCUCUUUUCCCCUCUCCACUGUGGGGACAUGCCAAGUGAUGCCAGAUGAGGAGAAAGGGGAAAAUGAAAGGGCUGCUCAAGCCCCAAAUCUGUAAUUUGGAACAUCUGCUGGUAAAGUUGGGGGGGAUCGUUUUUGUGGGUUUAAUAAUAGCUCUGAAAAUAGUGUAGGCUGGCUUCUCUGCAUUCCAGGUCUGUGCCUGUCACUGCUACUUCAGGAAAGUAGGAAAGAAUCUUCUCACAAGAGAUCAUAGCAGCUGAAAACUAUGGGCACACAUUAGAAGUUCUAGUGAAAACUGGUGCUGUGUGAUAGCUCAAAAGCCAUUAAAGAAAAUCACCACUCCUCUUAAUUCUGCAUACAAGCCUUUUCUGCAAUAUGGAUUAUUUCUCAGAGACACCCUGCUCCAGCCCCCAAAAGAAAAGGAUUUGGGUUCUGCAACAAGAGGAAAGACAAUUGUAAACUAGCCUCUUCUUUUGGUCACUUGAAAUCCACGUGGUAUUUUGCACACUAUUCUUCAUGCUGUCGGACAUACAAGAAUUCUACCAUGUUGCAAAAAAGCUCUCUGCUGUAAAAAUGAGCUUUACUCUUUAAGUCAUGUCCUGCCAUCUCCCUGUUCACGGAAGCUUGGUGUGAUUACAUCUGAGUCACCAGAUAGGUAAUGGAUUUCUUCAGCACAGUUUUCUACAGGCAGCAAAACUGGGAGAGCUUUUGCAUAGCUGUCAGACAGACAGGAGUCUGCUUCCUUCCACCCUCAGGAGAGCCUUGGGAUGCAUUUUAUUGAAGCUAAUGGGUAAUCUGAAGAUAGAACACUGAAGGCAGAGAACAUCAAUAAUUCACUAGAACUUUGCUGGAGAACAGUCUGACAGAAGAGCUCAAUGUCUGCUUUCGUCACCUGAAGGACAACUUGACAGCAAUACCAAGAGGUCUCUGAGAGCUACACGAUGCCUGUGUGGAGGGGAACAGACACACAGGAGGAUCAGCUCCAGCUUCGGGAUAACAACACAUGGGUUACCGUUCCCUUCAGUGGCUAAACACUUCAUCUUGUGACCCCCACAAACCCCCAUGUAUUUAAUGCAUUAACUUUAGUCUUAGCGGUAUCUGGUAGGUUUUUUGAUCCUACUCCCCCCUCCCCCCCCCCCCAAACGAAGAUGCUGCAGAGCAACUUGAAGUUUCCUAUUCAGGUAGUUUUGUUAUACUGAAGCCUUUCAUUUGAAAUAGAUGCAACACACUUAGAUGUUAAAAACUUUUGUUUGAUAACUGCCAACAUUCGUGUAUGUGGGAGACUGAUGCAUGAGAUCCAAAUCACUCAUAGAAGAGUUUUUGCAGGAUCAGGUCUAGGCCCUAUCCCACCUCUCUCCACAGCAGUAAGGAAGAAAGUCUCUUCAUGCUUUUGAGAUCAACAUUCAUUCUCCAAAUUCAUCUAGGUGUUUGUUAUUGACAUACCCAUCUCUAAUGUGUUUGCAGGAUGGAGAAACGGCAGUGGACAUUAUGAUCAAGCUUGGCUGCAGCCUUUGGCCUUGAUUUCUCGUCUGGUUAUGUCAGAUUUCCAUGAAGCCAGCAGUCCAAAGCUUGAUGUCUUCUGUACUUCGCAGUAUUGUUGACCUGUGCAAUCUCUCCCCCCUGCAUCUUAGAUGAGGAACUCCUGAAAGCUGAGUGCACUCUACAUCAUUCUUACUCAGCAGCUUUGUGUAGCAGUAGGGUCCCUCCGUGUGGCUGAUCAUUCUGGCACCUCUUUGUGAGCACUAGCUAAGGCUUACAGCUAUCUGUGCAUCCGUGUAGUGCAAACUGAUUAAAAUGGGAAUGAUGUGUAUCCAUCGGAAUCAAGCUAAGGCAGUUUUGCCCAACGCAAUCUCUCUGUCAGUACCAAUUUUCUUGUUUCUGUGGCAAGAUUUUUUUUCCUAUUCAAUAUUAUGUUAAUGAGGUUUAUUUGCUUUAUCUGAUAAAGGCAUUUUGCACCUACAGUAAAAAAUUCUGAGGAAAGAAAGUCUUUACAAAACCCAAAAGCUGUGAAAGCUGUCCGGGAAAUGUUUGAUGUAUGCCAUGUGUAUGCAUGUUCUCAUUCAUUGUGGGUUUGGAUAACUCUGUUCACGUAAAACAUAGAAAUACCUUGGGAGUAUAAAGGGGCUAUUUCUGUUCCUUCAGCUUUGAUAAUGCAUUGACAUCCUUAGUGAAAUUACAGAAAGGGUCAACCUCCUUUGCCGUCUUUUCGAGUGGUAUGUUUUGGAAUAUUUCUCUUUCUACUCCUAUGUCCUCUCUGUUUACAGGUGAAUACAGUGGUAGCUGCUGUCUUAUGGACACCUUUUCUCUGUCUUGUGCUGUGUCAUACAGGUAGAUUUCUGACAAGUGCAAAAUAUGCCUCAGAUUAUUCACUAAGUGCUAGUGACAUGACAAGCAAAACCUUUGAAAAUCCCCACUGGUUUUGAAACUGCACAACAGGAAACACUGAUUUUGGGUUCAUAAAAGAUGUCUUUGCAAGACUACAAGAAAAUCCUCACUGUGGUUAUGGAGGUCCUAAAAGAAAAGUAAAAUCUCUGCUAUUAUUUGUGUAACUGCAAGCAAAGUUUACAUCUCUUUCCAAGUUUAUGACCUUGACAAUACAAAUGCAUUAUAACUUCA
Molecule: long non-coding RNA, 4361 nt
Organism: Strigops habroptila (Kakapo)
Lineage: Eukaryota; Metazoa; Chordata; Aves; Psittaciformes; Psittacidae
Exons: 5
Source: RefSeq, a predicted model, not a curated record